This 814-nucleotide ribosomal RNA is filed under the name uncultured bacterium. RNAcentral's name for it is "bacterial SSU rRNA". It matches the Rfam family "Bacterial small subunit ribosomal RNA", at positions 57 to 864 of the family's 1533-position model. The record is from RNAcentral.
GCAGUCGAGGGGCAUCAGUUUGGUUUGCUUGCAACCAAAGCUGGCGACCGGCGCACGGGUGAGUAACACGUAUCCAACCUGCCUCAUACUCGGGGAUAGCCUUUCGAAAGAAAGAUUAAUAUCCGAUAGCAUAUAUUUCCCGCAUGGGUUUUAUAUUAAAGAAAUUCGGUAUGAGAUGGGGAUGCGUUCCAUUAGUUUGUUGGCGGGGUAACGGCCCACCAAGACUACGAUGGAUAGGGGUUCUGAGAGGAAGGUCCCCCACAUUGGAACUGAGACACGGUCCAAACUCCUACGGGAGGCAGCAGUGAGGAAUAUUGGUCAAUGGACGCGAGUCUGAACCAGCCAAGUAGCGUGAAGGAUGACUGCCCUAUGGGUUGUAAACUUCUUUUAUAUGGGAAUAAAGUGGUCCACGUGUGGAUUUUUGUAUGUACCAUAUGAAUAAGGAUCGGCUAACUCCGUGCCAGCAGCCGCGGUAAUACGGAGGAUCCGAGCGUUAUCCGGAUUUAUUGGGUUUAAAGGGAGCGUAGGCGGAUUGUUAAGUCAGUUGUGAAAGUUUGCGGCUCAACCGUAAAAUUGCAGUUGAUACUGGCAGUCUUGAGUGCAGUAGAGGUGGGCGGAAUUCGUGGUGUAGCGGUGAAAUGCUUAGAUAUCACGAAGAACUCCGAUUGCGAAGGCAGCUCACUGGAGUGUAACUGACGCUGAUGCUCGAAAGUGUGGGUAUCAAACAGGAUUAGAUACCCUGGUAGUCCACACAGUAAACGAUGAAUACUCGCUGUUUGCGAUAUACAGUAAGCGGCCAAGCGAAAGCAUUAAG